GACGAACGCUGGCGGCGUGCUUAACACAUGCAAGUCGAACGGAAAGGCCUGCUUUCCCUUGUGGAUUGCGGGUACUCGAGUGGCGAACGGGUGAGUAACACGUGAGUGAUCUGCCCCCAACUUGGGUAUAAGCCUGGGAAACUGGGUCUAAUUCCCGAUAGGACUGCAGGGUGGUGCCUGUGGUGGAAAACGAUUUUCUAGUGGUUGGGGAUGAGCUCGCGGCCUAUCAGCUUGUUGGUGGGGUAAUGGCCUACCAAGGCGGCGACGGGUAGCCGGCCUGGGAGGGUGGACGGCCACAUUGGGACUGAGAUACGGCCCAGACUCCUACGGGAGGCAGCAGUGGGGAAUAUUGCACAAUGGGCGGAAGCCUGAUGCAGCGACGCCGCGUGGGGGAUGACGGCCUUCGGGUUGUAAACUCCUUUCGACCGCGAGGAAGCCACCUGGUUGGAAGGGUGGUGACGGUAGUGGGAGAAGAAGCACCGGCUAACUACGUG
RNAcentral lists this ribosomal RNA (494 nucleotides) under uncultured bacterium. RNAcentral describes it as "partial 16S ribosomal RNA". It matches the Rfam family "Bacterial small subunit ribosomal RNA", at positions 28 to 507 of the family's 1533-position model. The record is from RNAcentral.